UGUAUAUUGAACCGGGGCUUCUAGCUCUAGUGGUAAAGGACUUACAGCUUUGAGUACUGCCACCUGGGUUCGAAUCCCGGCCACUGGGGAAUUAACAUUUCGGCAUCGCCAGGGACAGAAGACCGACACGUGGCAACACGUGACUAGUAUACAUCACUUCUGUGGAGCCAUGAUACCUCUGUAAAAUUCAAAAAAAAAAGGUGUACACUGAAAGCAAAGAUGAGUUGUGGUAUAUAUUUAUUUGACCAAGUGGUGAGUUGACUUGGGUGUGGCC
Molecule: long non-coding RNA, 274 nt
Filed under: Brassica napus (rape)
Lineage: Eukaryota; Viridiplantae; Streptophyta; Magnoliopsida; Brassicales; Brassicaceae
Description: long non-coding RNA (BNAP_LNC025837)
Source: RNAcentral